GUAGUCCACGCCGUAAACGAUGCGCACUAGACCGGUGCGGUUUUGACGCCGUAUCGGUCGGAGUAAAAACGAUAAGUGCGCCGCCUGGGGAGUACGGUCGCAAGGCUAAAACUCAAAUGAAUUGACGGGGGCUCACACAAGCGGUGGAGCAUGUUGCUUAAUUCGAGGCAACGCGAAGAACCUUACCUGGGUUUGACAUGCUGGGAUCAACCCGAUGAAAGUCGGGCCACAGUCGCAAGACCGGAACCAGCACAGGUGCUGCAUGGCUGUCGUCAGCUCGUGCUGUGAAGUGUCAGGUUAAGUCCUUUAACGAGCGCAACCCCUAUCGUUAGUUGCUCGGCGCAAGCCAGUACUCUAGCGAGACUGCCGGUGUCAAACCGGAGGAAGGUGGGGAUGACGUCAAGUCCUCAUGGCCCUUACAUCCAGGGUUGCAAACGUGCUACAAUGGCGUAUACAGAGCGAUGCGAGGCCGCGAGGCGGAGCAAAUCGCAAAAAGUACGCCCCAGUUCGGAUUGCAGGCUGCAACUCGCCUGCAUGAAGUCGGAAUCGCUAGUAAUCGGAGAUCAGCUACGCUCCGGUGAAUG
RNAcentral lists this ribosomal RNA (584 nucleotides) under uncultured Planctomycetota bacterium. RNAcentral describes it as "bacterial SSU rRNA". It matches the Rfam family "Bacterial small subunit ribosomal RNA", at positions 790 to 1368 of the family's 1533-position model. The record is from RNAcentral. Lineage: Bacteria; Pseudomonadati; Planctomycetota.